UAGGUUUUAUAUAUAUGAAAAACUAAAAAAAAGAACAAAUUAUUAUGUCCGGACGAAAUGAAAGGCAUCAAAUUUGAAAUCUAAAUACGACCUACUAUCAAUAUUGAGUAAUGAGCUCAACAAUGAUAUCACAAUAUGAAUACUAACUAUACUAAGCAAAAGAUGCCUACGAAAUCCCUUGUCUUCAUGCAUUAGCAGUACUGUCUCCAUGAUAUGAAGGAAAAUGUCCUUCCAAUGAUGUGGUAGUUUCUGAAUAUGAAUCAAUCUAUCCACAAAAACUCUAGCUUGUUCCAUGUCAUGCCAACAUAUGAACUAGUGCUCCAUUCUCGUCAACAACUGCUCUCUUGCUUCAUUUUUGUUCUCCCUUUUGCUUGCUUUCUUCCUGAUCACCAUUGACUUCCUUUUGUGAGUUCUUUCCUUGGAUGCCCUGCUUAGUUGUUGUGCCUGUAUGUAGCCCCAUCUUCUUUCAAGAUUUUCUGCUAAGUGUAGCCAGUUAUGCCUUGUUACUUGCAAAUCCCAAACCUGCUCUAUAAUUGUAUAUUUAAGCCCCGUUUCACGACUGAACUCUGUGUAUUUGCUUGAACCUUUUGCAUGAUUUGAUCCCUGAGUUAUAGUAGUGUAUAAUUGUAUUUGGCAUUUGUUCCAAACGACAGCUACAUUACCCAGAAAUCGUAUCCAAAACCAGCCUGUUACUGAUACGUUGGUUGAAACUGGGCAGGAGUUUUGCCCAUCGAUAGUGUUAUAAUUAAAAUAUAUUAUUAACACUUUGUUUUUUUUUUUGUAUUCAUUAUUAGGCCUUUUUAUUUAAUCAAAAUUAUUUACCAUAAGAAAAUAAUUAUCUUUGUUAAAAAGUGACAAUUAAUUUUUAAAAACUAUAUUAUUUCCUUGUGCGAUCUUAACAUUAGGAAUAUACUAAUUUUUCUUCCAAAUUUUAAGUUUUUUAUUAUUUCAACAAGUGAUAGAAAAUAGUUUUUGGGAGAAAACAGAUAGAAAAACACGGGUGGUAGUACUGACUCUCAGUUGAUUGGCGCCAAUGAUUGAUUUAUCGACAACAGUGUAGGUCGGGAGCCUCACGCAACAUUGUUGUUUUUAGCCUCCAUUGUUGCUUCAUAUAGAAAGCUUGGAGCUAAACGUAGAAGAAACUGAUGCAAUUUUGGGAUUUACAAUGAAAACAACGAAAGAGAAAGAAAGGAAUGCAACAGUGAGAAUGGGACGUAUGAAGCGAAGCCAGCUGUCCCACGAGAAUUAAGCUAGAAACGCAUGUAUUUGGAAAGGUAGGUAAACCAUUAUAAAUAGAAGCAAUUGACAGUUUUAACCUCUGUCAUAUCAGUAACCUUCAUUUUAAUAUAGUCAAAAUUUUCAAAUAUUAACUUUAUCUAGUAUUUUAGAACUUUAGAUUUGUAACGAUCCGACCCAUCGUUUUGAGCAUUCGCAUUUUGCUCGAUUAUUUAAGGGCAUGAGUAACUCCGUAUGAAGUAUUAUGACUUAUGUGGAUCGUCGGUUUUGAUUUUCAGGUUAUUCAAAAUUCAAGUUGGAAGAAUGAUUCUCAGCUAGAAGCUUUAAAUAUGAAAGAUUUGACCAAGUUUGACCUUUUAGUAUUUGGCUUCGGAUUGGAUUUAUGAUGGUUUUGUUGGCUUCGUUGGGUAUUUUGGACUUAGAGGCACGCCCGGAUCGUGAUUUGGAGGUCCGUAGUGGAAUUUGGCUUGAAAUGGCGGAAGUUGAAAUUUUGAAAAAGUUUGACCGGAAGUGGACUUUUUGAUAUCGGGGUCGGAAUGAAAUUCCGAAAGAUGGAGUAGGUUCAUAGUGUCAUUUAUGACUUGUGUGCAAAAUUUGAGGUCAUUCAGACGUGGUUUAGCAGGUUUCAGCAUCGUUUGCGGAAUUGAAAGUUUAGAAGUUCUUAGGCUUGAAUACGAGUGUAAUUUGGUGUUUUGAUGUUAUUUUUGGGUAAUUCGAAGAUUCGACUAAGUUCGUAUGUUGAUAUAUGACUUGUUGGUAUGAUUGGGUGAGGUCCCGAGGGCCUCGGGUGUGUUUCGAGUGGUUGAUUUAUGCUAUGAUUGGCUCAUUGAUUUAUGUCAUGAUUGGCUUAAUAUAGCGCUUAGGCUGAAGGAGCCCCUCCGGAGUCUGUACACACCUCCAAUGAGCGCAGGUACCUACUGAGUGUGAGUCCUGAGUGCCGAGUGACUGGGAGGCAUGAGUGAUGGUGAGGUUUGCCCGAGGAGCUGUAUAUGAGUGAUGGUGAGGUUUGCCUGAGGGGCUGUAUAUGAGUGAUGUUUUCCCGAGGGGUUGUAUAUGAGUGAUGUUUUCCCGAGGAGUUGUAUAUGAGUGAUGUUUGCCCGAGGGGUCGUAUAUGAGUGAUGUUUACCCAAGGGGUUGUUUAUGAUUUUAUCAUUUUGCUCACUUUUGCACUGAACCUUUGUUCGAGAAUUGUUCAAAGAUGUUUUUAAAUAAUUUUACUGGAACUGGAUUUAAACAAGCCGAUUUAAUUCAAACUAUGGUUUUAAAAGCAUGCCGUAUUUUACUGAGUUUCCGUGAUAUGAACUUUAGCAUUACUGUUCAUCACUACUUCUCAGCCUUUAUUUACUGUUGUUACUUACUGAGUUGGCAUACUCACGUUACUCUCUGCACCUUGUGUGCAGAUCCAGGCAUUUCUGGACAUGGUAGCGGGUGUUGAUUAUUUAGUUGUAGAUUCAUCGGAGUUAGCAAGGUAGUUGCCUGAUGAUCGUAGCCCUGCUUUCCUUCCUCUUUAUCUUCCCUUAGUUAUAAUCAAUUAUUUCCAGACUAUGUUAGUCUUGAUAUCGUCAGACGGUUGUAGUAGAUGCUCAUGGCUAGUGACACCCCGAUGUCGGGAUUUCUUUUCCGCACUUUUGUUUUAAUUUGAACUCCUUUAUGAAGGGUUUAUAUUAAAUAGCUUGGG
RNAcentral lists this long non-coding RNA (2914 nucleotides) under Nicotiana tabacum (common tobacco). RNAcentral describes it as "long non-coding RNA (NTAB_LNC011505)". Lineage: Eukaryota; Viridiplantae; Streptophyta; Magnoliopsida; Solanales; Solanaceae. The record is from RNAcentral.